Molecule: long non-coding RNA, 324 nt
Filed under: Nicotiana benthamiana
Lineage: Eukaryota; Viridiplantae; Streptophyta; Magnoliopsida; Solanales; Solanaceae
Description: long non-coding RNA (NBEN_LNC021976)
Source: RNAcentral
ACCAGUCUCUCUCUCUAUCUGUCUCUUCUCCUUCUCUGUAGAACCUUCUGAUUCAUCUUCUCCAAUGGCUCUCACCAUCUCUCCGACCACCUCCAGCCUCACCUCUUUAAACCACCAGCCCGCCGUGAAGCCUUACCUCACCGAUUCUCUCCGUCUCUGAGACCCCAUGAGUCUCCACCACACAAGAUGUUCAUUGAAGCUUUGUUGAGGUUUGUUUUAGACCUUUCUCCGAUGGAUUUUUGCCCGAUGGUGCUGUAAACACCAUUAUUCUCGAGUUUCACAGCCAGGUUUCUCUUGUGUGUCUCACUAGUUUCUUAUAAAACC